AGGAAUAUUGGGCAAUGCCCGCAAGGGUGACCCAGCAACGCCGCGUGGAGGAUGAAUGUCGUAAGAUUGUAAACUCCUGUUAGAGGGGAAGAAUAGUACCGGUUGGACCGGUAUAUGACUGUACCCUCAGAGAAAGCCCCGGCUAACUACGUGCCAGCAGCCGCGGUAAUACGUAGGGGGCAAGCGUUGUCCGGAUUUACUGGGUGUAAAGGGCGCGCAGGCGGGAUAAAAAGUCAGUGGUGAAAUCCUACAGCUUAACUGUAGAACUGCCUUUGAUACUUUUAUCCUUGAGUUCGGGAGAGAGUGACGGAAUUCCCGGUGUAGUGGUGAAAUACGUAGAUAUCUGGAAGAACACCAGUUGCGAAGGCGGUCUAUCGGUCCGACACUGACGCUGAGGC
Molecule: ribosomal RNA, 398 nt
Filed under: uncultured bacterium
Lineage: Bacteria
Description: bacterial SSU rRNA
Rfam family: Bacterial small subunit ribosomal RNA
Source: RNAcentral